GCGCGCUUAGCUCAGUGGUAGAGCGUUUCAUUGACAUUGAAAAGGCCGCUGGUUCGAUCCCAGCAGCGCGCACAA
This 75-nucleotide transfer RNA is filed under the name Candidatus Harrisonbacteria bacterium RIFCSPHIGHO2_02_FULL_40_20. RNAcentral describes it as "tRNA-Val". It matches the Rfam family "tRNA". From Rfam's summary of the family: Transfer RNA (tRNA) molecules are approximately 80 nucleotides in length. Their secondary structure includes four short double-helical elements and three loops (D, anti-codon, and T loops). RNAcentral also lists the same sequence under 1 other name. The record is from RNAcentral. Lineage: Bacteria; Candidatus Harrisoniibacteriota.